GACGAACGCUGGCGGCGUGCUUAACACAUGCAAGUCGAACGGAAAGGCCCUGCUUUGGUGGGGUGCUCGAGUGGCGAACGGGUGAGUAACACGUGAGUAACCUGCCCUUGACUUUGGGAUAACUUCAGGAAACUGGGGCUAAUACCGGAUAGGAGCUCCUGCUGCAUGGUGGGGGUUGGAAAGUUUCGGCGGUUGGGGAUGGACUCGCGGCUUAUCAGCUUGUUGGUGGGGUAGUGGCUUACCAAGGCUUUGACGGGUAGCCGGCCUGAGAGGGUGACCGGACACAUUGGGACUGAGCUACGGCCCAGACUCCUACGGGAGGCAGCAGUGGGGAAUAUUGCACAAUGGGCGGAAGCCUGAUGCAGCAACGCCGCGUGCGGGAUGACGGCCUUCGGGUUGUAAACCGCUUUCGCCUGUGACGAAGCGUGAGUGACGGUAAUGGGUAAAGAAGCACCGGCUAACUACGUG
This 468-nucleotide ribosomal RNA is filed under the name uncultured bacterium. RNAcentral describes it as "partial 16S ribosomal RNA". It matches the Rfam family "Bacterial small subunit ribosomal RNA", at positions 28 to 507 of the family's 1533-position model. The record is from RNAcentral.